CGAACGGGUGAGUAACGCGUGAGGAACCUGCCUCAAAGAGGGGGACAACAGUUGGAAACGACUGCUAAUACCGCAUAAGCCCACGGCUCGGCAUCGAGCAGAGGGAAAAGGAGCAAUCCGCUUUGAGAUGGCCCCGCGUCCGAUUAGCUAGUUGGUGAGGUAACGGCCCACCAAGGCGACGAUCGGUAGCCGGACUGAGAGGUUGAACGGCCACAUUGGGACUGAGACACGGCCCAG
RNAcentral lists this ribosomal RNA (237 nucleotides) under uncultured bacterium. RNAcentral's name for it is "partial 16S ribosomal RNA". It matches the Rfam family "Bacterial small subunit ribosomal RNA", at positions 99 to 334 of the family's 1533-position model. The record is from RNAcentral.